This 66-nucleotide transfer RNA is filed under the name Ixodes trichosuri. RNAcentral's name for it is "tRNA-Gln". Lineage: Eukaryota; Metazoa; Arthropoda; Arachnida; Ixodida; Ixodidae. The record is from RNAcentral.
UAGUUUUUGGUGUUAAGCACAAUAAAUUUUGAUUUUAUAGGUAAUAAUUAAUUUUAUUAAAACUAA